CUCUCAGCAGGCUGUGCGCGGCCGUGAAUCUUCCCCCCGCGCGUGAGGAGCUCACCGCCGCUGAGAGCGCGGGAGGUCGCCUCGCGAGUCCCAAACAGGUUUCUAAAACAACGAACUUAAUGAGACAACAGCCACCGCAGACCUGCGCUCUGUCAGCAAGAAGCCUGAGUUCUCGGAGGUGCAGUUAGUGUCUCAGGGUCCACGAUGCUCACAAAUGCUAGAAACCUAAGGUCAGGAAGGAGCUCAGCGACGCUAGCCCGGGUCUCCAGCAG
Balaenoptera acutorostrata (minke whale) is the source of this 272-nucleotide long non-coding RNA. RefSeq lists it as uncharacterized. NCBI's taxonomy places the organism in Eukaryota, Metazoa, Chordata, Mammalia, Artiodactyla, Balaenopteridae. The transcript has 3 exons. The record is from RefSeq and is a predicted model, not a curated record.